GACGAACGCUGGCGGCGUGCUUAACACAUGCAAGUCGAGCGGUAAGGCCUCUUCGGGGGUACACGAGCGGCGAACGGGUGAGUAACACGUGAGUAAUCUGCCCUUCACUUGGGGAUAAGCUUCGGAAACGGGGUCUAAUACCUGAUACGACAAUCUUGCGCAUGCAAUGGUUGUGGAAAGUUUUUUCGGUGGGGGAUGUGCUCGCGGCCUAUCAGCUUGUUGGUGGGGUAAUGGCCUACCAAGGCUUCGACGGGUAGCCGGCCUGAGAGGGUGACCGGCCACACUGGGACUGAGACACGGCCCAGACUCCUACGGGAGGCAGCAGUGGGGAAUAUUGGACAAUGGGCGGAAGCCUGAUCCAGCAACGCCGCGUGAGGGAUGACGGCCUUCGGGUUGUAAACCUCUUUCAGUACCGACGAAGCGCCCGUUGUGGGUGGUGACGGUAGGUACAGAAGAAGCACCGGCCAACUACGUGCCAGCCGCCGCGGUAAAAC
Molecule: ribosomal RNA, 494 nt
Filed under: uncultured bacterium
Lineage: Bacteria
Description: bacterial SSU rRNA
Rfam family: Bacterial small subunit ribosomal RNA
Source: RNAcentral